RNAcentral lists this ribosomal RNA (449 nucleotides) under uncultured bacterium. RNAcentral describes it as "partial 16S ribosomal RNA". It matches the Rfam family "Bacterial small subunit ribosomal RNA", at positions 29 to 523 of the family's 1533-position model. The record is from RNAcentral.
AACGAACGCUGGCGGCAGGCUUAACACAUGCAAGUCGAGCGCAUCCUUCGGGGUGAGCGGCAGACGGGUGAGUAACGCGUGGGAACGUACCCUUUCCUACGGAAUAGCUCCGGGAAACUGGAAUUAAUACCGUAUACGCCCUUAGGGGGAAAGAUUUAUCGGGGAAGGAUCGGCCCGCGUUGGACUAGCUAGUUGGUGGGGUAAAGGCCUACCAAGGCGACGAUCCAUAGCGGGUCUGAGAGGAAGAUCAGCCACAUUGGGACUGAGACACGGCCCAAACUCCUACGGGAGGCAGCAGUGGGGAAUAUUGGACAAUGGGCGCAAGCCUGAUCCAGCCAUGCCGCGUGAGUGAUGAAGGCCUUAGGGUUGUAAAGCUCUUUCAGUAGGGAAGAUAAUGACGGUACCUACAGAAGAAGCCCCGGCUAACUUCGUGCCAGCCGCCGCAGUAA